UGAGGAAUAUUGGUCAAUGGGCGAGAGCCUGAACCAGCCAAGUAGCGUGCAGGAUGACGGCCCUAUGGGUUGUAAACUGCUUUUAUAUGGGAAUAAAGUGAGGGACGUGUCCCUUAUUGCAUGUACCAUAUGAAUAAGGACAGGCUAAUUCCGUGCCAGCAGCCGCGGUAAUACGGAAGGUCCAGGCGUUAUCCGGAUUUAUUGGGUUUAAAGGGAGCGUAGGCUGUUUGUUAAGCGUGUUGUGAAAUGUAAGAGCUCAACUUUUAGAUUGCAGCGCGAACUGGCAGACUUGAGUGCGCACAACGUAGGCGGAAUUCAUGGUGUAGCGGUGAAAUGCUUAGAUAUCAUGACGAACUCCGAUUGCGAAGGCAGCUUACGGGAGCGCAACUGACGCUAAAGCUCGAAGGUGCGGGUAUCGAACAGG
This 424-nucleotide ribosomal RNA is filed under the name Verrucomicrobiota bacterium. RNAcentral's name for it is "Verrucomicrobia bacterium partial 16S ribosomal RNA". It matches the Rfam family "Bacterial small subunit ribosomal RNA", at positions 355 to 776 of the family's 1533-position model. Lineage: Bacteria; Pseudomonadati; Verrucomicrobiota. The record is from RNAcentral.